GUCUACAUAGCUUUGUUUCAUGUAACAUGAGAAAACAGACACAUAACAUAUUACUUCCUUUUGUGUUUAGCCAAGCACAUCUGUACAGCAGCCUGUGGUGCAUCAUGUUGCCUGCCAGACAGACCAACCAGUGACAUGCACAGUUGGCACACAGCUUUCCAUGAGAACUCUCCAGCCUCACUUCAGAAGCACAGGCACACAGAAAUCAGUGUCCUGUGCUGAUGUUGGAGUUGGCACCUCAACCAUUGCCUUCUCAACUUCUCAACCAUUCUUAUCAUCAACCCCAAUAAAGAGACCACGCAAAAGGGCUCGCUUGGAACUGGAGGAGGAGGAAGAGGAGAAUCCAUUGGAGGGCAGUUCAUCCAUGGACAUUCCCGACCCCAAGGAUUCUUCAUAUGAUCCUGAGGACUCUGUCACAGUUUUGUCUGAGUCAGCAGACGUGACACUGGAGCCUUCCUGCCCUGUUCAUAAGACACCAACAUAUAUUGUCUAUGAAAAGUGUCUGAUGGAGCUGUUUGAGGUGUGCCCUGUCUGUCAGCGUGUGUCAGACAUGCAGACAAGAAGGAUAGGCACAUUCCUCUCUGUAGAACAGACAUGCCCACAUUGUCAGUUCUUCAGAAAAUGAAACAGCCAGCCAAUUCUGGGAAGCACACCUGCAGGAAACCUCCAGCUUUCCGCUGCAGUAUACACCACAGGUACAUCUUUCUUCAAACUUGAAAAGAUCUUCCGGGCAAUGCAGCUGAAGAUGUUUCGGUAUGACACUUUUUGCCAUCAUGCACGGAUGUACAUAGAGCCUG
Molecule: long non-coding RNA, 797 nt
Organism: Epinephelus fuscoguttatus (brown-marbled grouper)
Lineage: Eukaryota; Metazoa; Chordata; Actinopteri; Perciformes; Serranidae
Exons: 4
Source: RefSeq, a predicted model, not a curated record